CAACUCUGGUUUCUCUUCAAUCACGCACAAGUUUUUUCGCCUUUUACUAAAGACUUCCGGGAGAGCACGCUUACGAGUUCAACGUAUUUUUGGACGGCUUUGCUCCCGCAGAGCCC
This 116-nucleotide small nuclear RNA is filed under the name Esox lucius (northern pike). Its description in RNAcentral is "U5 spliceosomal RNA". It matches the Rfam family "U5 spliceosomal RNA". Rfam says of the family: U5 RNA is a component of both types of known spliceosome. The precise function of this molecule is unknown, though it is known that the 5' loop is required for splice site selection and p220 binding, and that both the 3' stem-loop and the Sm site are important for Sm protein binding and cap methylation. Lineage: Eukaryota; Metazoa; Chordata; Actinopteri; Esociformes; Esocidae. The record is from Rfam by way of RNAcentral.